RNAcentral lists this ribosomal RNA (390 nucleotides) under uncultured bacterium. Its description in RNAcentral is "bacterial SSU rRNA". It matches the Rfam family "Bacterial small subunit ribosomal RNA", at positions 28 to 419 of the family's 1533-position model. The record is from RNAcentral.
GACGAACGCUGGCGGCGUGCUUAACACAUGCAAGUCGAGCGGUAAGGCCCUUUCGGGGGUACACGAGCGGCGAACGGGUGAGUAACACGUGGGUGACCUGCCCUCAGCUCUGGGAUAAGCCUGGGAAACCGGGUCUAAUACUGGAUAUGACUCCAUGACGCAUGUUGUGGGGUGGAAAGCCUUGUGCGGCUGAGGAUGGGCCCGCGGCCUAUCAGCUUGUUGGUGGGGUGAUGGCCUACCAAGGCGACGACGGGUAGCCGGCCUGAGAGGGCGACCGGCCACACUGGGACUGAGACAUGGCCCAGACUCCUACGGGAGGCAGCAGUGGGGAAUCUUGCGCAAUGGGCGAAAGCCUGACGCAGCGACGCCGCGUGAGGGAUGACGGCCUGG